RNAcentral lists this ribosomal RNA (227 nucleotides) under uncultured bacterium. RNAcentral describes it as "partial 16S ribosomal RNA". It matches the Rfam family "Bacterial small subunit ribosomal RNA", at positions 28 to 253 of the family's 1533-position model. The record is from RNAcentral.
GACGAACGCUGGCGGCGUGCCUAACACAUGCAAGUCGAACGGGACCAGGGGCAACUCUGGUUCAGUGGCGGACGGGUGCGUAACACGUGAGGAACAUGACCUUCGGCGGGGGAGUAGCCGGCCCAACGGCCGGGUAAUACCGCGUACGACCACAUGGGGACGAUCCCUCGAGUGGUGAAAGCAGCAAUGCGCCGAUGGAGUGCCUCGCGGCCUAUCAGCUAGUUGGG